Molecule: long non-coding RNA, 263 nt
Organism: Gordionus sp. m RMFG-2023
Lineage: Eukaryota; Metazoa; Nematomorpha; Gordioida; Chordodea; Parachordodidae
Exons: 3
Source: RefSeq, a predicted model, not a curated record
GUGCUAUAUUAAUUGCCAAUAUGGAUUCGAGAAAGGUGAAGGCAAUUGCCCAUCAUGUAAAUGCAAACCUAAGCCAGAACCUGUAUGUCCUGUGUGCUAUAUAAAUUGCCAAUAUGGAUUCGAAAAAGGUGAAGGCACUUGCCCGUCAUGCAAAUGUAAACCUAAGCCAGAACCUGUAUGUCCUGUGUGCUAUAUAAAUUGCCAAUAUGGAUUCGAGAAAGGUGAAGGCAAUUGCCCAUCAUGUAAAUGCAAACCUAAGCCAG